This 1291-nucleotide ribosomal RNA is filed under the name uncultured fungus. RNAcentral's name for it is "eukaryotic LSU rRNA". The stretch from base 626 to 1291 matches the Rfam family "Eukaryotic large subunit ribosomal RNA", at positions 1 to 649 of the family's 3401-position model. The record is from RNAcentral. Lineage: Eukaryota; Fungi.
AAGUCGUAACAAGGUUUCCGUAGGUGAACCUGCGGAAGGAUCAUUACCGAACUGUCAACACGAGUUGUUGCUGGUCCUCGAAUGGGGACAUGUGCACGCUCUGUUUGCACAUCCACUCACACCUGUGCACCCUCCAUAGUUCUGCAGCCUGGGGGCUCUGUCCCCCUGCCGUGGUUCUAUGUAUUUACACACACACCGUAGUAAAGUCUCAUGGAAUGCAUACCGCGUUUAACGCAAUACAAUACAACUUUCAGCAACGGAUCUCUUGGCUCUCGCAUCGAUGAAGAACGCAGCGAAAUGCGAUAAGUAAUGUGAAUUGCAGAAUUCAGUGAAUCAUCGAAUCUUUGAACGCACCUUGCGCCCUUUGGCUAUUCCGAAGGGCAUGCCUGUUUGAGUAUCAUGAACACCUCAACUCUCAUGGCUUGCCAUGAUGAGCUUGGACUUUUGGGGGUCUUGCUGGCCUGUGGUCAGCUCCUCUCAAAUGAAUUAGCCUGCCAGUGUUUGGUGGCAUCACAGGUGUGAUAACUAUCUACGCUUGUGGUUUUCCACCAGGUAACCUUCAGUGAUGAAGGUUCGCUGGGGCUCAUAAACGUCCCUCCUCAGUGAGGACAGCUCUUUGAACGUUUGAUCUCAAAUCAGGUAGGACUACCCGCUGAACUUAAGCAUAUCAAUAAGCGGAGGAAAGAAACUAACAAGGAUUCCCCUAGUAACUGCGAGUGAAGCGGGAAGAGCUCAAAUUUAAAAUCUGGCGUGCCUCUGGUCGUCCGAGUUGUAGUCUGGAGAAGCGUUUUCCGUGUUGGACCGUGUAUAAGUCUCUUGGAACAGGGCGUCAUAGAGGGUGAGAAUCCCGUCUUUGACACGGACUACCAAUGCUUUGUGAUGUGCUCUCAAAGAGUCGAGUUGUUUGGGAAUGCAGCUCAAAAUGGGUGGUAAAUUCCAUCUAAAGCUAAAUAUAGGCGAGAGACCGAUAGCGAACAAGUACCGUGAGGGAAAGAUGAAAAGCACUUUGGAAAGAGAGUUAAACAGUACGUGAAAUUGCUGAAAGGGAAACGCUUGAAGUCAGUCACGUCUGCCAGGACUCAGCCUUGCUUCUGCUUGGUGCACUUUCUGGUUUGAUGGGCCAACAUCAAUUUCAACCGUUGGAGAAAGGCUUUGGGAAUGUGGCACCUUUGGGUGUGUUAUAGCCCUUUGUUGUAUACAACGGUUGGGAUUGAGGACCGCAGCACGCCUUCAUGGCCGGGGUUCGCCCACGUACGUGCUUAGGAUGUUGGCAUAAUGGCUUUAAGCGACC